AUUUGCAUUAUACAAAUGAAUAUAAAUAAAACACAGUAACCUGUGAACACUUUUAAACAUGCUAAUGAAUAUAUAAGCUAAUUAGGCUAAUGGCUAAUUAGGGACUUACUGUGUGUCAUAUUUUCCAUAGUCUGAUACUGUACUGUUGUCUAGGCAUUUUUUAAAUAACUAAGAAUAACCCUACAACAAUCCAGAAUAUAUUUUAUACUUUAGAUUCUUCAAAGUAGCAGCUUUUGCUUUGAUGCCAGCUUUGCACUUCUUGGCAUUUUCCCAGAACCAGCUCAGUUGGGCUUAUGACGGGUGAUUAUGGAGGACAAUCCCUUUACUGUUUAUUACACAAUUCCAUAUUCCAUUGAUGUUUUCAGUAUUAAUAUACAAUGAUUUCAAUGAAUCAGAAGGGGUAUCCAAACUUUUGACUGGAACAGUACAUUCUUAAAAUGCAUUUUCUAUAUAUAUUUUUUAUAUAUAUUUUCAUAAGAGUGAACAGUGAAUGUGUUUUUAUACAUUGUAGUUGUCCAAAUAUUUGUGGACACCGCACUUCUUCUAAUGAAUGCUAAAUUCAGCUGAAUUAUAGUAUAAAGCCUUUUCUGGACAGUAGAGACAGUUACACCAACAAAAGUAAACAAAAGCAGGAUAAACCUAAGGUUAAUUUAAACACAACCUUUUUAAAUAAAUUUUCAGCUCCUAAGAUCACAAGUUCCUAUCGCCCAUAUAAAUAGAUUUAGCCACACGGUGCAAAACCAUUACUAUAAUACAAUAACUGUACCAUUAUAUAUCUUAUUAAACACCAAUAAUGAGGUACAGUGCAAAGCCAAAGGUGCAUCUAAAAAGCAUUUUUUAUAUUGUUUAGUCUAUAAAAUGCCCCAUGUUCUUUGCAUUUUGCAAAAAGAAUAAAAAUACACUGCUUUUAAACAGAAUGCUGAUAUCAUCAUGAUAUGGAUACUGUCUACAAUAAAAUAUCAAACAGCCUUAAGACCAAACAUAAGUCUGAUGUGCAAUUUCUUUAACCCUUUUAAACCUGAAUGAUCUCCAGUGAUGGAAAAAUGUAGGAAUACUGUUUUCUGUCUGUAAUUCAGAGAAAAGAAGACACUAAUAUUCUACUAUAAAAUCUAUACAGCAAAUAAAUCUAAUUAAGUAAAAUAUUUAAAUAUUUAAUAUUAGUUUUUCUUUUUUGUUUUGCAUUGAAAGCCAUGUGUAAAUUCCUUUGCAUUUCAUAAACCAUCCCUAAAUAGUAAAUAAACAUGAUUAAAAAGUGUUUUAUAUCACAUUAAAUUAGUAAACAUAGGCUCUAUUGAUUAAGCUUAAGUACUACAGUUUUUCCAGUGCAGUGAGCAGGGCCAAGCUACUGUUUUAUUGGUUAAAAAAUAUAUGAUGUCUAUUGUAAUGGUUACAGGGUCUGGAAGGGUUAAUAGCACAUAAGUCAAAACCUAUAACACAUUUAUAUUGGCCAUUUAUAGUGUUCCUCAAAAGCUGGGUUUUCUGUACUGUGAAUUUUACAUAUGUACUAACUUACACACCCCUAGUGCUAAUUGUGUUGUUGAUGUUUGUUGUUUACAGUGUUUGUGACAGUAACAGCGUCUAUAUUAAAGCUGUAGAAGUGUUAUGCAGAGGUUUGGGAUCAGCCAGUCCAGCAGCAGGCUCUGAAACAGCUGCUGCCUGAGGCCCUGAGGAUGCAGGAGGCUAAGAAGAGAACUGUCCAGCAGGGGGCGUGGCUCUCUCUUAUACACGCACACACACACACACACACACACACACACACUUUUUUGGGUGUGUAUUUGAUGCCAGUGCCACUCCAGAAGGUCUCCUGCUGACCGUACUGAUAGCGCCAUCAGCAAAAACUGGUAAUACCACGUACACACACACACACACACACACACACACACACAUACUGUCUUAGGACACAUUUGAGGCCAUAUGAAAAGAAGCCCCCACCGCGGGGACACCGCUUUCUGAAUGAGCUAGAGAGAAGCAGACAACACAGUUCUGCUCCAAAAUACCCCAAUAACACCACAAUCACUUGAUAUUUUUGAUUCAAGCAUAUUUUGUCCGAGGUGACAUAAUACCACACAUUUGAGGACUUGUAUUUUUUAGGACACAUUUGGGGGCCAAUCCCAUACACGUACACAAACUCUGAUAAAAGUCACUUUUGAAUACUUUUACUAAACUUUGGGGACAGAUGAAGUAAAGUUCUCAUGUGUAUUUUUCAGUUACAUUCCUGCACUAAUGCUUUUGUUAUAUUAUCAAAAUCAUCUGUUCUUUGGAGAACGUGCAGAAGGUCUAAAGGUUUUACACGUUUUUUUUAUAUUAAAGCUAGUGUCAGUAUCACCUGGGUGUCUUUGGCUUACUGGAAAAAAAAUCUGUAUGUUCACUGCAUGCUAUUUUUGGAGACAAUGAUUAUGUGAAUUAUGUAUAUUAUGUAAUUUCAAAGGUAGCCUAUAUAGCAAUAACACUAAAAUAAAUUGACCUACUAAAAUA
Long non-coding RNA from Astyanax mexicanus (Mexican tetra), 2475 nucleotides. RefSeq lists it as uncharacterized. Lineage: Eukaryota; Metazoa; Chordata; Actinopteri; Characiformes; Acestrorhamphidae. The record is from RefSeq and is a predicted model, not a curated record. The transcript is spliced from 2 exons.